This 646-nucleotide ribosomal RNA is filed under the name uncultured bacterium. RNAcentral describes it as "bacterial SSU rRNA". It matches the Rfam family "Bacterial small subunit ribosomal RNA", at positions 54 to 745 of the family's 1533-position model. The record is from RNAcentral.
CAUGCAAGUUGAACGGGAAUUUAUUUUCUCGUGGCGAACGGGUGAGUAUUCGCAGAAUUUUUCCUUCCAAUUCAGGACAAAAGUCUACUUGAUUAGAUCAAAUACUGAAUAUUUUAAAGGUUAAUUCCGUUGGAAGAUAAAUCUGCAUAAGAUUAGGUUGUUGGUAGAUUAAAAGUUUACCAAGCCCGCGAUCUUUAGUUGGUCUUAGAGGAUGAUCAACCACACUGGAACUGAAAUAAGGUCCAGGCUGACACGUCGGCCAGCAGUGAGGAAUAUUGGACAAUGAACGAAAGUUUGAUCCAGCAAUACUAACUGGGUGAUGACGGCUUAUUUAAGUUGUAAGAUCCUUUAAUUAAAGAAGAUAAUGACAUUAUUUAAUUGAAUUUUAGUCCUGGCUAAUACUCGUGCCAGCAGCCGCGGUAAUACGGGAAGGGCAAGCGUUAUUCGGCAUGACUGGGCGUAAAGGGUCCGUAGACUGCAAAGUAAGUUUUUUGUUAAAUUUUAAGACCCAAUCUUAAUUCCGCAAUUAAUACUGCUUUGCUUUGAGUUUAAUACAGAAAAGUAGAAUUUUAUACGACAGGGGUGAAAUCCGUAGAUAUAUAAAGGAAUGCCAACAGCGAAGGCAACUUUUUGGUAUAAACUGACG